RNAcentral lists this ribosomal RNA (522 nucleotides) under uncultured bacterium. RNAcentral's name for it is "bacterial SSU rRNA". It matches the Rfam family "Bacterial small subunit ribosomal RNA", at positions 961 to 1482 of the family's 1533-position model. The record is from RNAcentral.
GCGAAAAACCUUACCUACCCUUGACAUGCUUGGAAUUUUACGGAGACAUAAAAGUGCCCGAAAGGGAACCAAGACACAGGUGCUGCAUGGCUGUCGUCAGCUCGUGUCGUGAGAUGUUGGGUUAAGUCCCGCAACGAGCGCAACCCUUAUCAUUAAUUGCUAUCAUUUAUUUGAGCACUUUAAUGAGACUGCCGGUGACAAACCGGAGGAAGGUGGGGAUGACGUCAAGUCCUCAUGGCCCUUAUGGGUAGGGCUUCACACGUAAUACAAUGGAGUGUACAGAGGGUAGCCAGCCCGCGAGGGGGAGCCAAUCUCACAAAGCACUUCGUAGUCCGGAUCGGAGUCUGCAACUCGACUCCGUGAAGUCGGAAUCGCUAGUAAUCGCGGAUCAGCAUGUCGCGGUGAAUACGUUCCCGGGUCUUGUACACACCGCCCGUCACACCAUGGGAGUGGUUUUCACCAGAAGCUGGUAGCUUAACCGUAAGGAGGGCGCCUGCCACGGUGAGAGUCAUGACUGGGGUG